RNAcentral lists this unclassified non-coding RNA (430 nucleotides) under soil metagenome. RNAcentral's name for it is "partial contains 5.8S ribosomal RNA, internal transcribed spacer 2, and large subunit ribosomal RNA". The stretch from base 1 to 120 matches the Rfam family "5.8S ribosomal RNA", at positions 35 to 154 of the family's 154-position model. The record is from RNAcentral.
GAUGAAGAACGUAGCGAAAUGCGAUACGUAAUGUGAAUUGCAGAAUUCAGUGAAUCAUCGAAUCUUUGAACGCAUAUUGCGCUCUCUGGUAUUCCGGAGAGCAUGCUUGUUUGAGUAUCAGUAAACACCUCAACUCCCUUUUCUUAUUUGAAAUUGGAGCUGGACUUGAGUGAUCCCAACGCUUUCUUCCAAGAAAGUGGCGGGUUGCUUGAAAUGCAGGUGCAGCUGAACUUUUCUCUGAGCUAUAAGCAUAUCUAUUUAGUCUGCCUAAAAAACAGAUUAUUACCUUUGCUGCAGCUAACAUAAAGGAGACUAGUUCUUCUGCUGACUGAUGCAGGAUUCACAGAGACAGCUUCGGCUGACUUUGUAAACUCGAUCUCAAAUCAAGUAAGACUACCCGCUGAACUUAAGCAUAUCAAUAAGCGGAGGA